UAAGAACUUCACCUGAGGUGUUAGUCUGGGC
This 31-nucleotide non-coding RNA is filed under the name Rattus norvegicus (Norway rat). The record is from RNAcentral. Lineage: Eukaryota; Metazoa; Chordata; Mammalia; Rodentia; Muridae.